UGUGGAGACACAGGAAUCCUCAAAUAAGGACUACAGGAGAAAGAGCAGGCUUUUCCUUCGUAUUAGCUAACCGC
Molecule: long non-coding RNA, 74 nt
Filed under: Fukomys damarensis (Damara mole-rat)
Lineage: Eukaryota; Metazoa; Chordata; Mammalia; Rodentia; Bathyergidae
Description: lncRNA (ENSFDAG00000024458.1)
Source: RNAcentral